GGGGACAUCGUAAAAUGGUAUUACGCAGCCAUCGCAGGGCUGAGUUCCGGGUUCGAUUCCCGGUGUCUCCA
RNAcentral lists this transfer RNA (71 nucleotides) under Candidatus Parcubacteria bacterium. RNAcentral describes it as "tRNA-Ala". It matches the Rfam family "tRNA". From Rfam's summary of the family: Transfer RNA (tRNA) molecules are approximately 80 nucleotides in length. Their secondary structure includes four short double-helical elements and three loops (D, anti-codon, and T loops). Further hydrogen bonds mediate the characteristic L-shaped molecular structure. tRNAs have two regions of fundamental functional importance: the anti-codon, which is responsible for specific mRNA codon recognition, and the 3' end, to which the tRNAs corresponding amino acid is attached (by aminoacyl-tRNA synthetases). tRNAs cope with the degeneracy of the genetic code in two manners: having more than one tRNA (with a specific anti-codon) for a particular amino acid; and 'wobble' base-pairing, i.e. permitting non-standard base-pairing at the 3rd anti-codon position. Lineage: Bacteria; Candidatus Parcubacteria. The record is from RNAcentral.